Molecule: non-coding RNA, 430 nt
Organism: Paralichthys olivaceus (Japanese flounder)
Lineage: Eukaryota; Metazoa; Chordata; Actinopteri; Pleuronectiformes; Paralichthyidae
Source: RefSeq, a predicted model, not a curated record
AGUACUGGUCUAAACCAGGAUGGUGGUUAAAGAUCUCCGAGGAAUUCUAUGGGAAGAGGAACAAAGCAAAGAAAGUUUUGUUUAAAACCCUCGAUGACCUAAUAACACUCUACCCAUUGUCGGAGGGUUCCAUGGAGCUCAGUGACAGGAGAGCUUUUUUCAGCCUCAUCAAGGCCUCCUGGAGAUGGACCCAGACAAAAGGCUCACCCCAGAGGAAGCACUGUCGCACCCCUUCCUCACGAUGUCCCAAAUAUUGGAACAGGCAGAACCAUAGUGAGUAACUGAGUUUUGGUUUCAGUACAGAUAUUGAAUGAAGAGAAAAAAAGUGUUAACUGAUUAAGUGAUCCUCUAAUGUGUUGUUGUGUUUUAUUCAGUUUAUUUACUUCUCUGUCCAAAAUGGGCAAUUUGGGAAUGGAAGAGGACGACAGUC